Vicia villosa (hairy vetch) is the source of this 272-nucleotide long non-coding RNA. RefSeq lists it as uncharacterized. The record is from RefSeq and is a predicted model, not a curated record. The transcript is spliced from 3 exons. Lineage: Eukaryota; Viridiplantae; Streptophyta; Magnoliopsida; Fabales; Fabaceae.
UCUGUAUCUCAUGGAUUGGUCUAGGCGUAUGGCGAAAUAGUAUAGACCACAGAGGAAGAUUAAAGGAGGAAUCUCACGCUACCUACGCAUCGCUCUCGCAAAAUCCGUUGUUCUAAGGUUAUGCGGAUCACCGUCUCACUCUCUUCGAAUCCGUGGUUCCAAGGAGGUAUGUUCUUUACAAGGAAACAAAGAGAUAUUUUACAACAACAACUGAAUGAUGCAAAGGAAAAUUUAAAAGCACAGAGUUGUCCUGUUGUUUGCAUGUAUGGUAC